GAUGAUUUUAGUGCUUGCACUAAAUGAAACUAGAUACAAGCGAGCGGCGGACGGGUGAGUAACACGUGGGUAACCUGCCCAAGAGACUGGGAUAACACCUGGAAACAGAUGCUAAUACCGGAUAACAACACUAGACGCAUGUCUAGAGUUUGAAAGAUGGUUCUGCUAUCACUCUUGGAUGGACCUGCGGUGCAUUAGCUAGUUGGUAAGGUAAUGGCUUACCAAGGCGAUGAUGCAUAGCCGAGUUGAGAGACUGAUCGGCCACAUUGGGACUGAGACACGGCCCAAACUCCUACGGGAGGCAGCAGUAGGGAAUCUUCCACAAUGGACGAAAGUCUGAUGGAGCAACGCCGCGUGAGUGAAGAAGGGUUUCGGCUCGUAAAGCUCUGUUGGUAGUGAAGAAAGAUAGAGGUAGUAACUGGCCUUUAUUUGACGGUAAUUACUUAGAAAGUCACGGCUAACUACGUGCCAGCAGCCGCGGUAAUACGUAGGUGGCAAGCGUUGUCCGGAUUUAUUGGGCGUAAAGCGAGUGCAGGCGGUUCAAUAAGUCUGAUGUGAAAGCCUUCGGCUCAACCGGAGAAUUGCAUCAGAAACUGUUGAACUUGAGUGCAGAAGAGGAGAGUGGAACUCCAUGUGUAGCGGUGGAAUGCGUAGAUAUAUGGAAGAACACCAGUGGCGAAGGCGGCUC
This 688-nucleotide ribosomal RNA is filed under the name uncultured Bacilli bacterium. Its description in RNAcentral is "bacterial SSU rRNA". It matches the Rfam family "Bacterial small subunit ribosomal RNA", at positions 66 to 727 of the family's 1533-position model. Lineage: Bacteria; Bacillati; Bacillota; Bacilli. The record is from RNAcentral.